This 465-nucleotide ribosomal RNA is filed under the name Vreelandella stevensii. RNAcentral describes it as "partial 16S ribosomal RNA". It matches the Rfam family "Bacterial small subunit ribosomal RNA", at positions 338 to 795 of the family's 1533-position model. The record is from RNAcentral. Lineage: Bacteria; Pseudomonadati; Pseudomonadota; Gammaproteobacteria; Oceanospirillales; Halomonadaceae.
CCUACGGGUGGCUGCAGUGGGGAAUAUUGGACAAUGGGCGAAAGCCUGAUCCAGCCAUGCCGCGUGUGUGAUGAAGGCCUUCGGGUUGUAAAGCACUUUCAGUGGGGAAGAAAGCCUUGGGGCUAAUACCCUCGAGGAAGGACAUCACCCACAGAAGAAGCACCGGCUAACUCCGUGCCAGCAGCCGCGGUAAUACGGAGGGUGCGAGCGUUAAUCGGAAUUACUGGGCGUAAAGCGCGCGUAGGCGGUCUGAUAAGCCGGUUGUGAAAGCCCCGGGCUCAACCUGGGAACGGCAUCCGGAACUGUCAGGCUAGAGUGCAGGAGAGGAAGGUAGAAUUCCCGGUGUAGCGGUGAAAUGCGUAGAGAUCGGGAGGAAUACCAGUGGCGAAGGCGGCCUUCUGGACUGACACUGACGCUGAGGUGCGAAAGCGUGGGUAGCAAACAGGAUUAGAUACCCUUGUAGUC